GAUACUUACCCUACUGAAGUAUCCGCCUGAGAACUACGAGCACAAACGCUUAAAACUCUAAGGACUUGGCGGUGCCCCAAACCCACCUAGAGGAGCCUGUUCUAUAAUCGAUAACCCACGAUACACCCGACCACUCCUUGCCGAAGCAGCCUACAUACCGCCGUCGCCAGCUCACCUUUCUGAAAGCACAGCAGUGAGCACAAUAGCAACCAACAUCGCUAACAAGACAGGUCAAGGUAUAGCCUAUGGGGUGGAAGAAAUGGGCUACAUUUUCUAAAAUAGAAAACCCCCACGGAAAGGGGCAUGAAACUGCCCCUAGAAGGCGGAUUUAGCAGUAAAGCGGGAUAAUAAAUGCCCCCUUUAAGUUGGCCCUGGAG
RNAcentral lists this ribosomal RNA (377 nucleotides) under Pachyptila vittata. Its description in RNAcentral is "12S mitochondrial ribosomal RNA". It matches the Rfam family "Bacterial small subunit ribosomal RNA", at positions 812 to 1379 of the family's 1533-position model. The record is from RNAcentral. Lineage: Eukaryota; Metazoa; Chordata; Aves; Procellariiformes; Procellariidae.